GGCCCCUAGCGGCGGCGGCGGCCCGGUUUCGAUUUAAGCUCGAUUUUGGUCAACGCCGGUUUUCUCCUAGCUCCGGCCACCAAAACUUCCGAUCCUUGGCUCCAUGAACUCCCCUCAACCUGCUGAUCAUCAUACUAGGAGGAUUGCACCUAGAGUGACCGGUUUCACGUUCGUCGGAGCUCGGUAAGUUUUCAAUCCGAAACGAAAAUCUUUCGAUCGGUAUAUCUCGAGCUGUAGUGCAUCGUUUUGAUUGAUUCUUGAACCAGUGAGUUCUCCUUGAUGUUCUUAACAACUCUCUAGAAGGGAUCGAAGCCUGAAAUUGAAGUUUUGACGUCGAAAUCAAGCCUUGCCGGAUUCUGCAAAUUUCGCCGGAUUCUGGAAAUUUUCCGGCCACCUCGACUGUUUUAGGUGAUUGACGGAUCGAUUUGGCGGACAAUUUGUGAAAUUGUUGUUGAGCUGUUAAGAAGAUGCAGCUGGAUUAGAGCGGGUAAUCCUACAGGUCAAGAGAAUCAGGACGGAGAUCGAGCUGCGUAGAGUAGCUGCAAUUGUGUCAAUCUGAAUUGCUUUGUGAGCCGGUGAGGUGUGUUAUGCUCAUUUAGAGCUUUACAAUAUUUCUUGUGAGAGUGAAUUGUAAUAAUUAACUCGAAGUUUACCGAUUUGGAAAUUUUGUGUAAGUGGUGGAG
Molecule: long non-coding RNA, 683 nt
Organism: Rosa rugosa (rugosa rose)
Lineage: Eukaryota; Viridiplantae; Streptophyta; Magnoliopsida; Rosales; Rosaceae
Exons: 3
Source: RefSeq, a predicted model, not a curated record